UACCCAUAUCACAGGUCACUGCAAAUUCGUAAGAAGACGUAUAGUGGCUGACGCCUGCCCGGUGUUGUAAGGUUAACUUUUAAUGUUUUAGCUUUGAAUUUAAGCCACAAUAAACGGCGGCUGUAACUCUGACGGUCUAAAGGUAGCGAAAUUCUUUGUCACCUAAUUAGUGACCUGCAUGAAUGGCGUAACGACUUUUUUACUGUCUCUUGCGCAAGCUUAGUGAAAUUGAAAUAACUGUGAAGAUACGGUUUUUUAAUAGCAAGACGAAAAGACCCUGGCACCUUUACUGCAGGUAUCUAUUGUAACUGUGUAUUUUUUGUAUAGAAUAAGUGGUAGUUUUUUAGGCUAAAACAUCUGUGAAAUACCACUCUUAAACUAUAUUUUUACUAACUUAAACUGGAGAGAACAGUGGGUAUUGGGUAGUUUGGCUGGGGCGGUCACCUUCCAAAUUGUAACGAAGGUGUGCAAAAGGCAAAUUCAAAGAUGCUUUUUUUUUGAUGAGUGCAAUAGCAAAAAUUUGCUUGACUGUAAGAAAUACAAUUCAAGCAGGGAUUUACGUCGGUUAUAGUGAUCUGAUGUUUUUUUAUGGAGAAAGCAUCACUUUUCGGAAAAAAGGUACGCCAGGGAUAACAGGCUAAUGAUUUUUUAGAGUUCUUAUCGACAAAAUUGUUUGGCACCUCGAUGUCGGCUUUUCACAUCCUGGAGCUGUAGUUGGUUCCAAGGGUUUGGUUGUUCGC
This 740-nucleotide ribosomal RNA is filed under the name uncultured eukaryote. RNAcentral describes it as "partial Bacterial large subunit ribosomal RNA". It matches the Rfam family "Bacterial large subunit ribosomal RNA", at positions 1805 to 2584 of the family's 2925-position model. The record is from RNAcentral.